This 691-nucleotide ribosomal RNA is filed under the name uncultured Fusobacterium sp. Its description in RNAcentral is "bacterial SSU rRNA". It matches the Rfam family "Bacterial small subunit ribosomal RNA", at positions 60 to 763 of the family's 1533-position model. Lineage: Bacteria; Fusobacteriati; Fusobacteriota; Fusobacteriia; Fusobacteriales; Fusobacteriaceae. The record is from RNAcentral.
AGUCUACUUGAAUUUGGGUUUUUUAACUUCGAUUUGGGUGGCGGACGGGUGAGUAACGCGUAAAGAACUUGCCUCACAGCUAGGGACAACAUUUGGAAACGAAUGCUAAUACCUGAUAUUAUGAUUAUAGGGCAUCCUAGAAUUAUGAAAGCUAUAUGCGCUGUGAGAGAGCUUUGCGUCCCAUUAGCUAGUUGGAGAGGUAACGGCUCACCAAGGCGAUGAUGGGUAGCCGGCCUGAGAGGGUGAACGGCCACAAGGGGACUGAGACACGGCCCUUACUCCUACGGGAGGCAGCAGUGGGGAAUAUUGGACAAUGGACCGAGAGUCUGAUCCAGCAAUUCUGUGUGCACGAUGACGUUUUUCGGAAUGUAAAGUGCUUUCAGUUGGGAAGAAAAAAAUGACGGUACCAACAGAGGAAGUGACGGCUAAAUACGUGCCAGCAGCCGCGGUAAUACGUAUGUCACGAGCGUUAUCCGGAUUUAUUGGGCGUAAAGAGCGUCUAGGUGGUUAUGUAAGUCUGAUGUGAAAAUGCAGGGCUCAACUCUGUAUUGCGUUGGAAACUGUGUAACUAGAGUACUGGAGAGGUAAGCGGAACUACAAGUGUAGAGGUGAAAUUCGUAGAUAUUUGUAGGAAUGCCGAUGGGGAAGCCAGCUUACUGGACAGAUACUGACGCUGAAGCGCGAAAGCGUG